UUCACUGUUGUUCUCCCUAGUUUCAUUCUCCCUCGGAUUUUGUGGUUAUGUAUGACUUUGUGGUGAUGUAUUUCUUUUAAGAGGAGAAAAGGGAUUCAGUCCAAAACCACUUAAUAAAAAUCAUUCUUAGUAACUAAGUUAGGCUAGGAUUACCAAACACUGGAUUAAGAAGACCCUGUAACUCCGGUAGGAAUUAACAGUCCUGCCAUUCCAGAGCCAGAGGGAAGAACAAACUGUUGCUCACAACAACAAAGGCAAUAAGUCUGGCAGGACUGAGAACUAGGAAUCUGGAUGAUCUCUGAAUCUAAAUAACAAGGAAAGAAGGGUUACCUCUGGACCACAGCAGCCACAUCCACAAAGGUGUAAACCCAAAGGGCAUAUCACAGGAUUUGUUUUUCCCAAUGAAAUGAUGUCUGGAAGGCUUGAACUGAAAUGCUCUUUCAUGAUGGCUGCUGAAGAAAGGCAAGCAAAGCCAUGCUCUUCCAGGGGCUGGAAAGCCAAGCCCUGUCAGGGAGACCCUGCAGUAGUGCUCUGUGGCUACACCAGAAGAAAGAUGUGCAGGGAGCUCUUCCUGUCCCAUGGCAAGGGGAGGACAACUUCUCCUUCCAGUAGCAGAGAGAUGGAACUCUUCUCAUCUCCUCUUGUUGGGGGAAUGGCUCAAAGUUGAGCACAACCAUGCGUCAGAAACCUGGCUUGGGGGAUGCCUGUCUGGACAGACAGAAAAUUGCUGUACAGUGUAGUGAGUAUUGUGAUAAGGAUGGUGGAGGGUGUUUAAUGAGUCCAUAGAAAACAGUGCCCAGCUCUGUCUUAGAGAAGAUUUCCCAAAGGAGAUGAAAAAUAAAUAGAGACAUAAAGAAUGAGGAGUUAGAACAAUUAGAGGAAGGAAAUUUCCAGGAAGAGAUGACACUAUGAAAAUCAGUCAUGCAGCAGUGAGAAAACCAGACAAAUUUUCUACCCAUAUGGAUAGUAGCUAUGAGCACAUAGGAGAGAUAAAUAAUACAUAAAUAUUUGAUAAGUGCUGUGGUUACAAAAUAAAGCAGAGUAGAGGAAGGAGAAAAUGGAGACAGAUAUCUCAGAUAAAAUCAUCAUGUGAGGCAACUCUGAGAAAGUGACAUCUGAAAAACACACUUUAAACAAGUGAAGGGGUAACAUAUGAAUUGGCCUGGUAACUUAUGAAAAUGAAAUGCAUGGCACUUCCACAUUAAAAAAAAAAUCUGUAUGAAGAAUAUUCCAGGAUGAGGGAACAGAGAGUACCGUUGUGAAAUAGUAGCACGCUUGGUGUUUUUAAAAAAAUUAGCAAGCAGACCAUUGGGUUGAUAUGGAGAUGAGAAAAGUAGCCUGGACAUAGAUAGUUAGGGUUCCAUAGGUACUGGUACGAGAUACCUUUGUUUGUUGUGUGAAAAAAAUAAAGAAUGUGAGG
Heterocephalus glaber (naked mole-rat) is the source of this 1420-nucleotide non-coding RNA. NCBI's taxonomy places the organism in Eukaryota, Metazoa, Chordata, Mammalia, Rodentia, Bathyergidae. The record is from RefSeq and is a predicted model, not a curated record.